CAGAGGUCACAAGCGUUAUCCGGAUUUAUUGGGCGUAAAGCGUUUCGUAGGUGGGUUCAUAAGUUAUUUUUCAAAGACCGAGGCUCAACCUCGGGAAGGGAGAUAAUACUGUGAGUCUUGAAAUAUGGUGGGGCAUCUGGAACUGAUGGUGUAGUAGUGAAAUACGUUGAUAUCAUCAGGAACUCCAAGGGCGAAGGCAGGAUGCUAAUCAUUUUUUGACACUGAGGAACGACAGCUAGGGGAGCGAAAGGGAUUAGAGACCCCUGUAGUCCUAGCCGUAAACUAUGCUCGCUAGGGAUGCGCCGCAAGGUGCCGUCCCGUGAGCUAACGCGUUAAGCGAGCCGCCUGGGGAGUACGACCGCAAGGUUA
RNAcentral lists this ribosomal RNA (369 nucleotides) under uncultured organism. RNAcentral's name for it is "bacterial SSU rRNA". It matches the Rfam family "Bacterial small subunit ribosomal RNA", at positions 526 to 896 of the family's 1533-position model. The record is from RNAcentral.